UAUACAUGCAAGUCGAGCGGACAGAUGGGAGCUUGCUCCCUGAUGUUAGCGGCGGACGGGUGAGUAACACGUGGGUAACCUGCCUGUAAGACUGGGAUAACUCCGGGAAACCGGGGCUAAUACCGGAUGGUUGUUUGAACCGCAUGGUUCAGACAUAAAAGGUGGCUUCGGCUACCACUUACAGAUGGACCCGCGGCGCAUUAGCUAGUUGGUGAGGUAACGGCUCACCAAGGCGACGAUGCGUAGCCGACCUGAGAGGGUGAUCGGCCACACUGGGACUGAGACACGGCCCAGACUCCUACGGGAGGCAGCAGUAGGGAAUCUUCCGCAAUGGACGAAAGUCUGACGGAGCAACGCCGCGUGAGUGAUGAAGGUUUUCGGAUCGUAAAGCUCUGUUGUUAGGGAAGAACAAGUGCCGUUCAAAUAGGGCGGCACCUUGACGGUACCUAACCAGAAAGCCACGGCUAACUACGUGCCAGCAGCCGCGGUAAUACGUAGGUGGCAAGCGUUGUCCGGAAUUAUUGGGCGUAAAGGGCUCGCAGGCGGUUUCUUAAGUCUGAUGUGAAAGCCCCCGGCUCAACCGGGGAGGGUCAUUGGAAACUGGGGAACUUGAGUGCAGAAGAGGAGAGUGGAAUUCCACGUGUAGCGGUGAAAUGCGUAGAGAUGUGGAGGAACACCAGUGGCGAAGGCGACUCUCUGGUCUGUAACUGAGUACUCAGGAGCGAAAGCGUGGGGAGCGAACAGGAUUAGAUACCCUGGUAGUCCACGCCGUAGACGAUGAGUGCUAAGUGUUAGGGGGUUUCCGCCCCUUAGUGCUGCAGCUAACGCAUUAAGCACUCCGCCUGGGGAGU
This 851-nucleotide ribosomal RNA is filed under the name Bacillus sp. PS3(2015). Its description in RNAcentral is "bacterial SSU rRNA". It matches the Rfam family "Bacterial small subunit ribosomal RNA", at positions 50 to 881 of the family's 1533-position model. The record is from RNAcentral. Lineage: Bacteria; Bacillati; Bacillota; Bacilli; Caryophanales; Bacillaceae.